AGGUACAGCCCUACCCCCCUGAAUGCACCUGAUCUUGUCUGAUCUCAGAAGCUAAGCAGGGUCUGGCCUGGUUAGUACUUGGAUGGGAGACUGCAUGGGAAUACCAGGUGUUGUAGGCU
Ribosomal RNA from Callithrix jacchus (white-tufted-ear marmoset), 119 nucleotides. The record is from Ensembl. NCBI's taxonomy places the organism in Eukaryota, Metazoa, Chordata, Mammalia, Primates, Cebidae.